CAGAGAAUAGUUUAAUUAAAAUAUUAAUUUUGGAGAUUAAAGAUAAGGGUUUCCUUUUCUCUGA
Molecule: transfer RNA, 64 nt
Filed under: Nitidulidae sp. KM-2017
Lineage: Eukaryota; Metazoa; Arthropoda; Insecta; Coleoptera; Nitidulidae
Description: tRNA-Pro
Source: RNAcentral